This 479-nucleotide ribosomal RNA is filed under the name Schistosoma spindalis. Its description in RNAcentral is "Schistosoma spindale partial 12S ribosomal RNA". The record is from RNAcentral. Lineage: Eukaryota; Metazoa; Platyhelminthes; Trematoda; Strigeidida; Schistosomatidae.
CAUCUGGCAUAACUCUCCCCGACGUUUACGUCAGGCAGCCCACUGUCUGUACACAAUAUUUUUGCUCUCUCCUUCCAGAAUAUGUUCUUAUAUUCUUUGUUUGUUCCUAUAGCCCGUCCCAUCAUCGCGUUUCCGACACGCCAGAUCUUUACCAUCAUGAAAAGCGGAAUAUGUUCGUCGCAAAAUUGCUUGCUUUAGGUCCAAAGAUUUUUUUUUUUAGUUCGGGGGAAUGUGCAAAUUAAAAAGAUGGUCCGCUAAUUAUUUUACUAUAAAAAUAUCAGUUAGUGUAUAUCCGUUUAUAAAUUUACGUUUAGAGACUUCAAGUGAGUAAAAAAUUAUGUAAUUUAAGACAGGUCUAUAUGCUGCUAAUGUUAUAGGUAGUUGUGCGUUACAUUAAAAAGUUAAGUAGAUGAAAUUCUUUUAAGGAUUAAGGACUCGGAAGUAGGAGUAAAAAAGUAUGUACUCGAAUGGUAAAGGUA